Molecule: non-coding RNA, 382 nt
Organism: Pelobates cultripes (western spadefoot toad)
Lineage: Eukaryota; Metazoa; Chordata; Amphibia; Anura; Pelobatidae
Source: the annotation of a GenBank genome assembly
AGACUGUAUAUACCGCAAAGGAUUUAAUGCAUCUUUGCCAUAUAAUCAGUACUAGUACUAUGCAUAAUUCAGCUGGGUUUGUUUAAUUUUAUGUUGUUUGGUUUUCACCUGCCAGUCCUAGCUUGUACCGCUCAGCCUGUAAGCGCGCAUAGAAACAGCUACAGAGGAAAGGUCUCACUCCUUAACUAGCAAUUUACUUCAGCCUGUUUAAAAUAAGUUUACGUUCACCAACUAACAAAAUUAUAAAAAAAAUGAGGCAUUAACAAACUGGAAAUGUAACUAAUUAAUAAAAAAAAUGUCUAUAUACUAAGACAUCAUGAAAUACCCAUGCAUUUCCCUCUUUUUAUUCUGUACCCCUCAUAUGUGCCUUAAUGAAAGAAAG